ACAAUCAUCUGUGAUGGUUUGGUGACAUUCACGUGACAAUUCAGAGGAUAAUGCACAUACACUCACUGAUUUCUCAAACAUUUUGGGUUUCGUAGCAUUCAGACUUACUGUUGAUUUUGUUUUUAAUUGCGUAUGGAUAAGUACUGGGAGCGAACUGCGAAAAUACCCCAAGUUUCAUUUUUACUUCCGCUAUGCCGACAUCUUUUUACUCAUUGGAGUCAAAAUUAAUAGGGUUCUUGCUAUGGCAUAAUUUCUAUAAUGUGUGAAAGUUUUAACAUAAUAGAAUAUAUGAAUGGCAACAAUGUAGAUGAACAUGCACUGAAUAGAAUUUUGACCUUAGCUACGUCUUGUAGAGUUGAUGAUGGCACUAAAAUUAAACUGGGUUGUUGCCGUGGCAUUCAUCAAUCUUUUCGAAAAGAUAAACGUGUCAGAUCAAAUUAGUGACCGGUAGAACUAAAACCUCACAAAACCUCGCCCUAUUUUUGCGUAACGGUGCCUUUCUAAUUCCGUUCCUCCACGCGGUGAAAUUGGAAUUGCAGCAUUAAAAAAAGAUGAGUCACAAUCAGCUUUCCAAUUCAAAGUGAGGUACAUUAAAGGAUUCAAUUAACGCCUCGACAUGGAGUAGCUUUGUAAUGGCGAGAGAGAACGGGUUGAUAAAAUGUCAUUUAAAAUGAUUAAUCUGAACAUUUGUCAAGUCUGUGUCAUCCUUUUCUCCUGUGCGUUUGCUGGGAACUGAAAUGCUGGUGGAGGAGAACGUUGAAAAAGAUGAUCCAAGCCCAGAAUCACCUGUUUAAGCAAGAAUAGUUCCAGCGCAGGUAGCAUAUUUUCCACCAGGGUUUUGGAGGUGAUGUCAGGCUCCAAUUGCACUUACAAAGUUGACUGGAAUGAUCUUGAAAUGCCGAAAAUCGACUACACUAGUUUUAAUGAAGGAGAGAGGAAGGUUAGGAGCAGGAACUCACAACAAGGUUUGCAACUCGUAGAUGGCUGCUUCUUUGCAAGAACUGAAGAACCUGGACAGGGCAUCCUGUGCGCAGCUGAGGUGGCAAAGGUCACACAAUGUGCUGCAGGAUACAGAGAAAUUGCUAUUUGCAGGGUAUAGGGCACACUUAUAGGAAGAAAUGCACAACUGGCAAAAAGCCCAUGACGUUGAUGAAUGCUGUCCUCUAAGUGUUAGCUAAAAUUAUCCGAUGAGACGCGGUACGUGUUCCAAUUCACAAGGUUGAUGAAAUGACAGCAGAGGAGGACACGCAUGAGGGUAUUCACCGAUCUCACACACACACAAAAAAAAAGUCAUUUGUCUUUCUGGGAAGGUCUACCUACAUGGAGAAACUAAAUGACAUGUCAAACCAUUUUAUAGAAAUUGGAAGCAUAGAAUUUGAACAUACACCGAUAACGCAGCCUGAGUAGGUUUGCAGGAUUAGUUUGCAACGUGGCACAUAAGCACAUAAUUUCAAAUUAUAUAGAAAUUUAACAUCAAAUCCCUUUUUGAUAUGUAUGUUUCAGGCUGAAGUAGCUUCAAUAGAUUACCUUGUUUAAAGUGGAAGCAAAUAAAUCUACCCAUCCAACCCAAAAAGGGAUUGCCCCAAGGUGCUUUACUGCCCUCGUGUGGUGACUUUCCUCCACUUUCUCAAGGAUAUCGAUUCAAAAGUGGACCACUUGCCACAUACACUGAAUGAUUCAUCCAUCCAUUUCCGAAGCCACUUAUCCUCACAAGGGUUGCGGGAGUGUUGGAGCCUGUCCCAGCUGUCAACGGGCAGGAGGCGGGGCACACCCUGAACUGGUUGUCAGCCAAUCGCAUGGCACAUAGACACAGACAACAAUCUCACACACAAUCACACCUAAGGGCAAUUUAAAUUUUUCUGGGAUGUGGGAGGAAACCUGAGUGCUCGAAAAAAAAAAAAAAAAACAUGCAGGAACGGGGAGAAGAUGCAAAUUCCAUACAGAUAGGGCUAUAUGGUGUUUCACCCCAGUCCUCAGAACUGUGAGGCCAACGCUCUAACCUGUUGUUCCACCGUGCAGCCUGUAUGA
Long non-coding RNA from Syngnathoides biaculeatus (alligator pipefish), 2028 nucleotides. RefSeq lists it as uncharacterized. Lineage: Eukaryota; Metazoa; Chordata; Actinopteri; Syngnathiformes; Syngnathidae. The transcript is spliced from 3 exons. The record is from RefSeq and is a predicted model, not a curated record.